This 301-nucleotide ribosomal RNA is filed under the name uncultured bacterium. RNAcentral's name for it is "partial 16S ribosomal RNA". It matches the Rfam family "Bacterial small subunit ribosomal RNA", at positions 509 to 807 of the family's 1533-position model. The record is from RNAcentral.
CAGUCGCCACGGGAAUACGAAGGGUGCAAGCGUUAAUCGGAAUUACUGGGCGUAAAGCGUGCGUAGGCGGUUACUCAAGUCAGAGGUGAAAGCCCGGGGCUCAACCCCGGAACUGCCUUUGAAACUAGGUGACUAGAAUCUUGGAGAGGUCAGUGGAAUUCCGAGUGUAGAGGUGAAAUUCGUAGAUAUUCGGAAGAACACCAGUGGCGAAGGCGACUGACUGGACAAGUAUUGACGCUGAGGUGCGAAAGCGUGGGGAGCAAACAGGAUUAGAUACCCCCGUAGUCCCUGUCUCUUAUAC